GCGGCGGACGGGUGAGUAACACGUAGGUAACCUACCUAUAAGACUGGGAUAACUUCGGGAAACCGGAGCUAAUACCGGAUAAUAUUUCGAACCGCAUGGUUCGAUAGUGAAAGAUGGCUUUGCUAUCACUUAUAGAUGGACCUGCGCCGUAUUAGCUAGUUGGUAAGGUAACGGCUUACCAAGGCAACGAUACGUAGCCGACCUGAGAGGGUGAUCGGCCACACUGGAACUGAGACACGGUCCAGACUCCUACGGGAGGCAGCAGUAGGGAAUCUUCCGCAAUGGGCGAAAGCCUGACGGAGCAACGCCGCGUGAGUGAUGAAGGUCUUCGGAUCGUAAAACUCUGUUAUUAGGGAAGAACAAACGUGUAAGUAACUGUGCACGUCUUGACGGUACCUAAUCAGAAAGCCACGGCUAACUACGUGCCAGCAGCCGCGGUAAUACGUAGGUGGCAAGCGUUAUCCGGAAUUAUUGGGCGUAAAGCGCGCGUAGGCGGUUUUUUAAGUCUGAUGUGAAAGCCCACGGCUCAACCGUGGAGGGUCAUUGGAAACUGGAAAACUUGAGUGCAGAAGAGGAAAGUGGAAUUCCAUGUGUAGCGGUGAAAUGCGCAGAGAUAUGGAGGAACACCAGUGGCGAAGGCGACUUUCUGGUCUGUAACUGACGCUGAUGUGCGAAAGCGUGGGGAUCAAACAGGAUUAGAUACCCUGGUAGUCCACGCCGUAAACGAUGAGUGCUAAGUGUUAGGGGGUUUCCGCCCCUUAGUGCUGCAGCUAACGCAUUAAGCACU
Molecule: ribosomal RNA, 787 nt
Filed under: Staphylococcus sp.
Lineage: Bacteria; Bacillati; Bacillota; Bacilli; Caryophanales; Staphylococcaceae
Description: bacterial SSU rRNA
Rfam family: Bacterial small subunit ribosomal RNA
Source: RNAcentral